UGUUUAUUUUAGUAUCGGCGUCCAUCCACUAAAAUCAUAUAACUUGAUGGAUUUUUUUUUCUCAGCCAAGAAGAUACACAAAAUCAUAUUCGUAAGUAUAUAAACGAGUAGAAUUGGUCAUAUCACAUAUCCAUUAUUCAAAGUUGUAAAGAUCAUCCUUUCUUGCCUAUAUGAUACUUGAUAAACCAGUCAACUAAUCGCUUUAAGCAAUUAUAUAAUAAAUUAUUUUUCAAAUGUAAUGUAACAACAGGAAAACAAUCAAAAGGAAUUAUAUAUCUCCAAAAGGUUUUGAACAUUAAUUAUCUUUUAAGAGUAAAGUUUUUUUCUUUUUUUUUUGUUCAACAGAGUAAAGUUUUCUAAAUAUAAGUUUAUUUGUGUAUCUGAAAUAGUUAGUUUGAUAGAAUCCAAGUAAAGAAACUUAUACACACCAAGUCAAAAAAUGUUUUUUUUUUUUUGAUUUAACCACUGUGUCCGGCGACCGAAAUCAAC
Molecule: long non-coding RNA, 489 nt
Filed under: Brassica rapa (field mustard)
Lineage: Eukaryota; Viridiplantae; Streptophyta; Magnoliopsida; Brassicales; Brassicaceae
Description: long non-coding RNA (BRAP_LNC002069)
Source: RNAcentral